This 253-nucleotide ribosomal RNA is filed under the name uncultured bacterium. Its description in RNAcentral is "partial 16S ribosomal RNA". It matches the Rfam family "Bacterial small subunit ribosomal RNA", at positions 524 to 776 of the family's 1533-position model. The record is from RNAcentral.
UACGGGGGGGGCAAGCGUUGUUCGGAAUUACUGGGCGUAAAGGGUUCGUAGGUGGCCAACUAAGUCAGACGUGAAAUCCCUCAGCUUAACUGGGGAACUGCGUCUGAGACUGGAUGGCUUGAGUGCAGGAGAGGAACGCGGAAUUCCAGGUGUAGCGGUGAAAUGCGUAGAGAUGUGGAGGAACACCAGUGGCGAAGGCGACUCUUUGGCCUGUAACUGACGCUGAGGCGCGAAAGCGUGGGGAGCAAACAGG